This 2196-nucleotide long non-coding RNA is filed under the name Gossypium barbadense (sea-island cotton). RNAcentral describes it as "long non-coding RNA (GBAR_LNC013465)". Lineage: Eukaryota; Viridiplantae; Streptophyta; Magnoliopsida; Malvales; Malvaceae. The record is from RNAcentral.
AAGAAUUAAGACUUGUUGGUUAGGAUUAAUGGUUCGGAAGGACCUAAGUGAGUUUCUACGUUUUAAAGACAGUAUUGAGCUUAGUAAUUUGGUGGUUAAGUAUUAGUUAUCUUUAGGUAUUGUGUUCAAGUCCUCUUGUGUGAUAAGUGGGAAUUAUUUUAAUUUCUUUAAAAACAAAUCUCAUUGGUUUGUUAAAGAUUAUUUAAAUUAUUUUAUUUUAUUUUUCUAAUUUAGAGAAAAGUUAGGAAAUCCCAAAAUUUUGCUCACGUUCCUCCAUUUUCUCAUCCUCUCUCUCACGUCAGUCACCCUCUCUCUUUUCCAAUUCUAAAUUUGUGUUUCCUUUUUGCCAUUAAUUUUUCUUCUUGAUUCUUUAUUUUGUUGUUUUUUCUUUGGUUGCUACCGUUCACUUGCUGCAAGGGUUUUACUAUUUUUGAGUCGUUCCUUUUGUUACAAGAAUUUUUGCCGAUUUCCGCUUCUCAAGACUUUCUUUGUGUUCUUGUUUCGUUCAAUCAGGAUCUUUAGGGGUAAGUAAUGUUGUUUAGGUUUCUAUCAAUUGUGUUUGGAAUAUUCUAUUAUGUUGCAAAUGAAAACUUUCUUGGUUUUUGAGUACUUGUGUAAAUUGAGUUUUCAGUUCGGUUUGGUGGUGACGAAUCAUUCGAUUCUUGGUGCUGGGAAUAGCAUAUUUCAGGUGUGUUUCUCAAACAUUAGUAAUUAGGGAUGAGUUUUGUGGUCCUGUUCAAUUUUUGCAGUUUUCACUCUUUAUUCGCAAAUUGACUCGUUUGGGUCCCGGAGAAAUCCGUUGCUCGUUUAAACCUCUGUAGGAGUGUGGGACUUCGUUAAGUUAUAUCAUAUGUGUGUUGCACUUAAGUCAUAUCAUGCUACCAUGCCGUGUUUGUAUACUAAUUUUACACUAAAUAUGUCGAUGUUGUUUGUCAUUUUGUGCUGGAAUGGGCUGUUGUUCGCAUGUUGAUUUUUCGUGAAAAUACCCUACCGUUGUAAUAAACAUUUUGCUGCUAUUUUUGUUGAGUAAAUGUCGCAUAUGUGUGCACAUUUUGUUGUUGUUUUUGUUGAGUAAAAUGCCGCAUAUGUGUGCACAUCUGCUGCUGCUUUUUGAUGAGUUUAAUGAUGCAUAUAUGAGCCUAGUUGUUGUUGUUGUUUUUAGUACGUAAAAUGCCACAUAUGUGGUUGGUUUUUGCUGUUGUUUUGGUGCGUAAACAUUGUGCAUAUAUGUGAAGUGGGCUACUGAUUUCUUAUUUGGGAAGGAUGUUUUUGUGAUAAGUUUGUUCGCUGAAUUAUAACUAUAGCAUGAUAUGUUACUAUGUAUGUAUGACAUUUCGUAUCUGCAUUUGGGUUUGGGUUUUGUUUGAAGAGAAGGAGCUUGAUUUGGCAGUAUUACUGCGUUAUUAAAAUAUGGCAGGGAUAUCGCAAUCAUAUGAGCAGCUUGACUGCAUAAUAACUCGAGUGGAAAAUGACCACAAUAAGGUGUGUUCGGUUGGAUGGGUCCACCAUAACUCAUAUAUUGGUGUGUAGAGGUUGGAAAGGGUUAGUAUACCCUAUUUGGUGUGUGACAGAUGGUUGAAAAUGGUGUGUAGAGGCUAGAUAGGUUGAUAUUGGGACUGGUACAUGUGUGUAUGAAUUAUAUUUGUUCUGUUUUUGAGUAAGUACUUCACUUAUGAUUGUCUGAUUAUGAAAUGAGCUAAGCAAUUGCAAGUGUGAGAGCAACUUCACGUGAUUACAUUUUGCAUAUUCGUUAUGUGAUAUGAUAAUGUGAUACGGCAAACUGUUAUGAUUUCUGUUAAUGUUAUGAUUAAGUUAAUUUUAAUUCCAACCAUCUGUUCGACUCUGUUUUAUUAUUUGUGUUCGUUGUCUUGUUCUGUCACUGCCUUUAGACUCACACUGAGCUUAGGUAGCCCAUUUCCUUAGUUUACUCCUUUUUAGGUAAUUCACCAGGUUAGGUCCUGGACUCAGCGAACUGGUGGUCUCAGAGUGGUAUGAAAUUUGGACCGGACUUUUGAAAAGCUACAUAUUCUUUAAUUGAAACUAAAUUUGCGAUUUCGUGCAUGUUAUGUUUAUUUUCAGUUUAAGUUACCUUAGUGUUUAGAGCAUGAGCAUAAAUUUUAAAACUGUUUUGCUUAAAUAAACACUCAAAUUUUUUAAUGUUAAACUUGCGAAUUAUAGAAAAAUGAUGGUUUUCCG